This 250-nucleotide ribosomal RNA is filed under the name uncultured bacterium. RNAcentral describes it as "partial 16S ribosomal RNA". It matches the Rfam family "Bacterial small subunit ribosomal RNA", at positions 524 to 772 of the family's 1533-position model. The record is from RNAcentral.
UACGUAGGGAGCAAGCGUUGUCCGGAUUUAUUGGGCGUAAAGAGCUCGUAGGCGGUUCGGUAAGUCGGGUGUGAAAACUCUGGGCUCAACCCGGAGAGGCCACUCGAUACUGCCGUGACUUGAGUCUGGUAGGGGAGCACGGAAUUCCUGGUGUAGCGGUGAAAUGCACAGAUAUCAGGAGGAACACCGGUGGCGAAGGCGGUGCUCUGGGCCAGUACUGACGCUGAGGAGCGAAAGCGUGGGGAGCGAA